This is a non-coding RNA of Notechis scutatus (mainland tiger snake), 907 nucleotides long. Lineage: Eukaryota; Metazoa; Chordata; Lepidosauria; Squamata; Elapidae. The record is from RefSeq and is a predicted model, not a curated record.
UAAGGCGGUGGAAUGAGGAGCGCGGGGUGGUUUUGUCGGCGCGGGAUGAGGAGCGGCUAUCCCGAGACAGAUGGGGCGAUUAGAGUGCGAGUGGGCGGCUGUCUCGCAUCCUUGCUCGAUACCGUGUUAACUGGGUUGGUUUGCAGCAUGGGCAUGCCAAGUCGGCUCCCAGGCUUCCCUCCCGCUUUAUUUUCAAGGAUGGCCCGUUUCCUCCGAGAUUCGCCCGCUGAUUCCGCGGCUUGCGCUUUCUGCUCUUGUCUGUCACCGCGGUGCCUUGGACGGCAACUUUCUGCCACGUAGCAGUUGAACUAGGGACAUCUUCCCCGUCGUUGCAAAACCUUGAUCAAGGGCUCACUGCAUACCUUUCUUUCUUUUUCUUAAAUGAGUGUGGGUUUUAUAUUUCCUGUGGAUGUAAUCUUAAUUUCAUCAUUUGCUGAUGAACUAGAAUGGACUUGUUUUUUCCUAUGAUUUUAGAGAUCAUUUGUUUAUGUUUUAUUGACAUCUGGGUUAACAGUGCUUGAGGCAAAGUCAAAACUGCCUCCCACAGCAAGUCAUAAUUGCAAAUCCAUAUCAAGCCUAGAUUUCGAAGGUAUGUUUGGAAGAAUCUCAAGGUGAAGAGAAAUGACAUAAUUUACAUUCCAGCCUUUGGGGGCAAAGAAAACUGGGGGAAGAAGUUGGAGAAACCUGAAAGGGAGCUAUGCCUAUUACUCAGAGGAGGCAGUCUACCAACAAAAGCCUUGUGUCACAGUUCACACAUCAUCAUGUUGCCGUGUUCCUCCUCACUUUCUUCAGCUACUCUCUUCUCCAUGCUUCCCGAAAGACCUUUAGCAAUGUCAAGGUCAGCAUCUCCAGCCAAUGGACCCCCUCUUGCUUUAAUGACUCUGCCUUCAUUCUUCAACCAUACGAG